UCUCUCUCUCUCUCUCUCUCUCUCUCUCUCAGUAUCCCGGUCCUCUUUCGGCCUCCCUCCCUCUACUCUCCUCCCCCUUCUCCUCUCUCACUCUCAGAUUCCGCAUUCAGGAUUCACAUUUCUCUGAAGCAACUCACUUCCCACGUCUGUCCCAUGCCUCACUUCUCUCUCUCUCUCCUCCCUGCACCUUUCUUUUGCUUUCUCACUCUAUCCUUUCUGCUCUUCCCACUCUGACUGAUUUCCACAUCUUCCAUCCUUGUCUUUCAUCCUUAAUUUCCUUCUUGUUUUCUUUCUUCAUAUGUCUAUUCUCUUCCACUCACUCACUACUUUUAUCUUCUACUCUGUUCCCAUCAUGUUCUUAUCUAUGCUCUACCCUCCUCAUCUUUCACCAGUGUCCAUGGUGAAAGUUUGAAAACUCUAGUUGUGAGGGAACUCUUCAUGUGGGCCCUAAAAUGGGAUGAAGCCUGAAAAUUAGGAGAGCCAGGAGUGUGUCUCAGAUGUCACGCGUGGGCGGAGGAGAGGAGAGAAGGAGGGGAGAGAGGACCCCACCGCGCUCAAAAAGAGACAAGACGGUGCUCUCUUGGGUGGCGCCCUCUGCAAAGGUCUUGAUACAGAGAGGUUUGGGGUUAAAGGGAAAACCAUAAAUUUUUCAAAAUGUCCACAUAAUUAAAUCACUGAGUCGUAAACAAGGUCAUGCUGAGUGGUUUGAUGUGAAAUUAUGCACUAUUGAGAAAUUUAAGGCGUCUUCCUGCUAGAAUUUGUUUCCGGGCUCAGGGCAGCUGGCUUGGUUAGUUCAAUUUGUUUGGUCAAGUGUGAAAGCUGUCUUCAAGUCCAAGAGUGGUCCAGAGAACCAGUCUCAGGUUUUCCUCCUGAAACCGGUGGUCUGGGGUUUGCUUUGAGAAAACUCUGGUGCCGUCCCCUGCAUAUGUGGAAGCUGUCCUCCCCUGGUGCCAGUACUGGUUAAUUUUGUAAAGUGACUGCUUUAUCACGUCAUUUCCCUAUUCAUAAAACUACACACAUUUAUUGGACUGUAAGGUUACAGUAAUAAGCAGACCUUUGUGGAGCGAGUGUCUCGUGCAUGUCUUGUGCUGGCCUGCAUGGCUGAAAACUUCAUUCUUGUAUCAGCCGACUUGUAGGUCACAUCCUUCAGUUUGUUCUGGCCUAGUAUUCAGCUUAGGUCUCUGCCCAGAUCUGGCUCACACAUUUUAAAGUGAGUGAAACUAAUGGAUGUGGCUGAAGUCUGGCCCAGCUACAUUGGUGGCCCCCAACAUUCACACCAGAAUUCACCCACAAAUAUAGACACAAGGCAAAACCAUAUGAAGCCAUGUAGCAUCUAGCCCUAUUCUGGCUCACAUGCCUGACAUUUGCCCAGUAGUCAACCAACAAUCAUGUAGGAAAGGCAGAAGUGGCCCAAAACUGCUAUCUGUGUUGCGCUGGCCUGCAUGGCUAAAACAUUCUUAUACAGCAACUUUUUUGCAGGUGCUCCUGCAUGGUGAAAUGCCAUAUAUCCAAAAAGCACAAUUUUUCACUGCUUGAGCAUUUCUUUCCAAGGAUAAUAAUAAAAAGAAGCAAAGAGAAUAAGCUAGCGCUUUCCAUUUUGUAAACUUGUGUGUAGAAAGGAGACAAGUGGAAUUGCGCAACUGACCAGCGAUACCAGCAACAAUGAGCCCCUCCCCCAAAUGAGUUUAGAACUGGUCCUUGGUGCAGACUCAAGUAUUAGGGACAAGUGUAAAAAUGCCCUUACUUACUCAGAUUUCUUUAUGGUGAUGUGAUAGGAAAAUGUUCUUUAGGAACUAUUUUGACUUUCACUGCCCGGCAUGUACCACCUGCCGACAAUUUUGGGGCAAUUGUUACGCAAGUGUUUAUUGACUACUGGGCAGAUGUUAGGCAUGUGCCAGAAUAGGGUUAGAUGCUGGACAGCUUCAUACAGGUUUGACUCAUGUCUAUAUUUGUGGGUGAAUUCUGUCAUGAACAUUGUUGGGUACAUUGUUGUUACAACAUAGUUAGGUCAGAUUUGGGUAAUGUCCAAUAAUUCUAUUCACUUUAUAAUGUGUGGGCUAGAUCUGGACCAAGGACCCAGUUGUAUACUGGGCCAGAUGUGGCCAAGACACAUUUUGCUAUGCAUUUAAAAAAAAAUCUGUUUUAAACCAAAACCUUCCUAUAGGACUAUUGUGAAAACAAUGUGUCUUUUUUUUAACCAGCUUAUUCAUAACUAAUUUUGUGCAAAGCUUUCUUUGAGGUAAUUUUUAGAGACUUUACUCUCUUCAGAUGUCUGCUUCCUGUCACUACCGAAUAAUUCUAACUCAGUAAGUCUCUCUGGAAAGGAGCAUUUCACACCAAACCACUCUGAAUGACUUUGGUUGCAGUUAAGUGCUUCAUUUUGCAGACAUUUAAAAAGAUCUAUGGAAUUCUCCUUCAAGUACAUACACUCUAUAAGCGUUUGCCAACUGAGGAGUUGUCUGGAUGGUAGCUUAUGAUGCUCCAAAAACCUGUAGCAUAAAUGGUACAUUCACAGUUGUGCAAGUCACCCAUGCCAUGUGCUCUAAUGCACCCCCACACCAUCACAGACACUGGCUUUGGAAUUGUGCACUGAUAACAAGCUUAAAAGUCUUUGGUUGCCCCUGUCCCAACUCUAUUGAAACAUUUUGUUGUCAUCAAAUUCAAAAUGAGCAUAUAUUUUUUCAAGAAGCAAUUCAAUUUCCUAGUUUCAACAUUUGAUAUGUUUGCCUUGCACCAUUUGAAAUUACAUAUAGGGAUUAAAUGAUUUGCACGUCAUUCUGUAAUUUACCUUUUGCACAGCAUCCCGACUUUUUAGGAAGCAGGAUUGUUGUAACUGUCAGUUGGCUACAAUAGUAACUGUUAACCUGUUAAAUCUGUAAAAUGUCUAGUAGGAUUACUAAUCCACCACAAGUUGUCUGCUGAAGUGUAUGUUUCUACAACUUUACUUCCACAAACAUGUUUAUGUUUGUACUGUAAAAGCUGUAAAUAUGUAAAGCUGUAUUGGUUUAGUAUUUUGAUGGAUGGAGGACCAUUUCAGAAAUGACCAGGAAACAAAGAGCAGCGUCUUCUAACUCCACCAAGUUGAAUGAUUUUAGAGGACACUAUCUGUAUAAAUAAACUGUAAUGGGCAGCAGAGUAAAGAGGUAUGACUGUUCAUUCUGAAGGCGGUAGACAUUAACAAUAAAAUAUGGAUAACGUACUCUGGUGAUAUAUAAACAUUCAUAUGCGGAA
This is a long non-coding RNA of Pygocentrus nattereri (red-bellied piranha), 3231 nucleotides long. RefSeq lists it as uncharacterized. Lineage: Eukaryota; Metazoa; Chordata; Actinopteri; Characiformes; Serrasalmidae. The transcript has 2 exons. The record is from RefSeq and is a predicted model, not a curated record.